UUAAGUUAAUAAGGGCGCACGGUGGAUGCCUUGGCACUAGAAGCCGAAGAAGGACGUGACAAACGACGAAAUGCUUUGGGGAGCUGUAAGUAAGCGCUGAUCCAGAGAUGUCCGAAUGGGGGAACCCACUAACUAAUGGUUAGUAUCCAUAACUGUUAAGGUUAUGAGAAGGAAGACGCAGUGAACUGAAACAUCUAAGUAGCUGCAGGAAGAGAAAGCAAACGCGAUUGCCUUAGUAGCGGCGAGCGAAACGGCAGGAGGGCAAACCGAAGUGUUUACACUUCGGGGUUGUAGGACUGCGACGUGGGACUUUAAAAGGAUAGAAGAAUUACCUGGGAAGGUAAGCCAAAGAGAGUAAAAGCCUCGUAUUUAAAAUUCUUUUGAGCCCUAGCAGUAUCCUGAGUACGGCGAGACACGUGAAAUCUCGUUGGAAUCUGGGAGGACCAUCUCCCAACCCUAAAUACUCUCUAGUGACCGAUAGUGAACCAGUACCGUGAGGGAAAGGUGAAAAGCACCCCGGGAGGGGAGUGAAAUAGAACCUGAAACCGUGUGCCUACAACAAGUUCGAGCCCGUUAAUGGGUGAGAGCGUGCCUUUUGUAGAAUGAACCGGCGAGUUACGAUAUGAUGCGAGGUUAAGUUGAAGAGACGGAGCCGUAGGGAAACCGAGUCUUAAUAGGGCGAUUUAGUAUCAUGUUGUAGACCCGAAACCAUGUGACCUACCCAUGAGCAGGUUGAAGGUGAGGUAAAACUCACUGGAGGACCGAACCAGGGCACGUUGAAAAGUGCUUGGAUGACUUGUGGGUAGCGGAGAAAUUCCAAACGAACUUGGAGAUAGCUGGUUCUCUCCGAAAUAGCUUUAGGGCUAGCGUCGAUGUUAAGUCUCUUGGAGGUAGAGCACUGUUUGGGUGAGGGGUCCAUCUCGGAUUACCAAUCUCAGAUAAACUCCGAAUGCCAACGAGAUAUCAUCGGCAGUCAGACUGCGAGUGCUAAGAUCCGUAGUCGAAAGGGAAACAGCCCAGACCACCAGCUAAGGUCCCAAAAUAACUGUUAAGUGGAAAAGGAUGUGGGGUUGCACAGACAACUAGGAUGUUAGCUUAGAAGCAGCUAUUCAUUCAAAGAGUGCGUAAUAGCUCACUAGUCGAGUGACCCUGCGCCGAAAAUGUACCGGGGCUAAAACAGUUUACCGAAGCUGUGGAUGACACAAAAGUGUCAUGGUAGGAGAGCGUUCUAUGUGUGAAGAAGGUGUACCGUGAGGAGCGCUGGAACGCAUAGAAGUGAGAAUGCCGGUAUGAGUAGCGAAAGACAGGUGAGAAUCCUGUCCACCGUAAGACUAAGGUUUCCAGGGGAAGGCUCGUCCGCCCUGGGUUAGUCGGGACCUAAGGAGAGACCGAAAGGUGUAUCCGAUGGCCAACAGGUUGAUAUUCCUGUACUAGAGUAUAUAGUGAUGGAGGGACGCAGUAGGCUAACUAAACCGGACGAUUGGAAGAGUCCGGCUAAGCAGUGAGGUGUAAGAUGAGUCAAAUGCUUAUCUUUAUAACAUUGAGCUGUGAUGGGGAGCGAAUUUUAGUAGCGAAGUUAGUGAUGUCACACUGCCAAGAAAAGCUUCUAGCGUUUAAUGAUACUCUACCCGUACCGCAAACCGACACAGGUAGUCGAGGCGAGUAGCCUCAGGUGAUCGAGAGAACUCUCGUUAAGGAACUCGGCAAAAUGACCCCGUAACUUCGGGAGAAGGGGUGCUGACUUAGGUCAGCCGCAGUGAAUAGGCCCAAGCAACUGUUUAUCAAAAACACAGCUCUCUGCUAAAUCGUAAGAUGAUGUAUAGGGGGUGACGCCUGCCCGGUGCUGGAAGGUUAAGAGGAGGGUUUAGCGCAAGCGAAGAUCUGAAUUGAAGCCCCAGUAAACGGCGGCCGUAACUAUAACGGUCCUAAGGUAGCGAAAUUCCUUGUCGGGUAAGUUCCGACCCGCACGAAAGGCGUAAUGAUUUGGGCACUGUCUCAACGAGAGACUCGGUGAAAUUUUAGUACCUGUGAAGAUGCAGGUUACCCGCGACAGGACGGAAAGACCCCAUGGAGCUUUACUGCAGUUUGAUAUUGAGUAUCUGUACCACAUGUACAGGAUAGGUAGGAGCCAUUGACUUCGGGACGCCAGUUUCGAAUGAGGCGUUGUUGGGAUACUACCCUUGUGUUAUGGCUACUCUAACCCAGAUAGGUUAUCCCUAUCGGAGACAGUGUCUGACGGGCAGUUUGACUGGGGCGGUCGCCUCCUAAAGAGUAACGGAGGCGCCCAAAGGUUCCCUCAGAUUGGUUGGAAAUCAAUCGCAGAGUGUAAAGGUAUAAGGGAGCUUGACUGCGAGAGCUACAACUCGAGCAGGGACGAAAGUCGGGCUUAGUGAUCCGGUGGUACCGAAUGGAAGGGCCAUCGCUCAACGGAUAAAAGCUACCCUGGGGAUAACAGGCUUAUCUCCCCCAAGAGUUCACAUCGACGGGGAGGUUUGGCACCUCGAUGUCGGCUCGUCGCAUCCUGGGGCUGUAGUCGGUCCCAAGGG
This 2546-nucleotide ribosomal RNA is filed under the name Streptococcus pyogenes ABC020048541. Its description in RNAcentral is "bacterial LSU rRNA". It matches the Rfam family "Bacterial large subunit ribosomal RNA", at positions 3 to 2571 of the family's 2925-position model. Lineage: Bacteria; Bacillati; Bacillota; Bacilli; Lactobacillales; Streptococcaceae. RNAcentral also lists the same sequence under 1 other name. The record is from RNAcentral.